Molecule: ribosomal RNA, 306 nt
Filed under: uncultured bacterium
Lineage: Bacteria
Description: partial 16S ribosomal RNA
Rfam family: Bacterial small subunit ribosomal RNA
Source: RNAcentral
GACAGCAGUAGCCACGGGAAUACGUAGGUGGCAAGCGUUGUCCGGAAUUAUUGGGCGUAAAGGGCUCGCAGGCGGUUUCUUAAGUCUGAUGUGAAAGCCCCCGGCUCGACCGGGGAGGGUCAUUGGAAACUGGGAAACUUGAGUGCAGAAGAGGAGAGUGGAAUUCCACGUGUAGCGGCGAAACGCGUAGAGAUGUGGAGGAACACCAGUGGCGAAGGCGACUCUCUGGCCUGUAACUGACGCUGAGGAGCGAAAGCGUGGGGAGCGAACAGGAUUAGAGACCCCUGUAGUCCCUGUCUCUUAUAC